CGAGUGAGAGGAAGAGCUCAAGUUGGAACCUGUUUGGCCUAGCUAAACCGGAUUGUAGACUGUAGAAGUGUUUUCCAGGCAAGCCGAGUAAAUAAGUCCUUUGGAACAGGGCAUCAUAGAGGGUGAGAAUCCCGUCUUUGGCUUGAGCAUUUGCCUUUUGUGAUACGCUUUCAAAGAGUCGAGUUGUUU
RNAcentral lists this ribosomal RNA (189 nucleotides) under uncultured Rhizopus. RNAcentral's name for it is "partial 26S ribosomal RNA". It matches the Rfam family "Eukaryotic large subunit ribosomal RNA", at positions 90 to 275 of the family's 3401-position model. The record is from RNAcentral. Lineage: Eukaryota; Fungi; Mucoromycota; Mucoromycetes; Mucorales; Mucoraceae.